This 406-nucleotide ribosomal RNA is filed under the name uncultured bacterium. RNAcentral's name for it is "partial 16S ribosomal RNA". It matches the Rfam family "Bacterial small subunit ribosomal RNA", at positions 30 to 526 of the family's 1533-position model. The record is from RNAcentral.
AUUGAACGCUGGCGGCAGGCCUAACACAUGCAAGUCGAGCGAGCGGCGGACGGGUGAGUAAUGUCUGGGAAACUGCCUGAUGGAGGGGGAUAACUCCUGGAAACGGUCGCUAAUACCGCAUACCAUCAGAUGUGCCCAGGUGGGAUUAGCUAGUAGGUGGGGUAACGGCUCACCUAGGCGACGAUCCCUCGCUGGUCUGAGAGGAUGACCAGCCACACUGGAACUUAGACACGGGCCAGCAUCCUACGGGAGGCAGCAGUGGGGAAUAUUGCACCAUGGGCGCAAGCCUGAUGCAGCCAUGCCGCGUGUGUGAAGAAGGCCUUCGGGUUGUAAAGCACUUUCAGCGGGGAGGCGUUACCCGCAGAAGAAGCACCUGCUAACUCCGUGCCAGAAGCCGCGGUAAUAC